CCUAAAUACAUAUAAAGGAAAUAUUUAUUCGGAACACAAUCAAAAUGUCCAUACGUAGUAUCCAUCAAACGAGAAAUGCUAUCCGCUCUGGAUGGUUCAAUUUAGAUACUGCUUCUAUUUGACUGAAAUUGAGUGCGGCAGUUAGAUCAGACGCAUUCGUAUAUAUUAAGAUUUUAAAAACUAUAAGAGAUAAAAAAAACACAAUUGAGGGAGAGCAAAAUAAAAAAUGGCUAGAAAUAGAGAUUUUGCUGAAAAGGAUUUAAAUGUUGCGCGCUCCGAAUCACAAUGCGAGAAAAGCCAAACUUUUUUCCUAUUGAUUUGAGCAUAUAAACCCUGUAUGGUGAGUUUUCCUCUGUCACAAACUUCGAUUAUUCAUUUCACUUCAAUCCUGAAAAGUAAGAAACUUUUUUAAGUCCCCUUUUAUGGCUUAGACUGUAUUUCAAUGUGGCACAAAGAACCGCACUAUAUUAUGUGCUGUUUAAGCCGCUUAAGGCCAUAUCACUAAAAUACAAGAUGCAGACAAAAAAAAAAAGAAGGAGAGCACAGAAUGCUGACUGAACAACAAUACCAACAACAAUGAAUAGAAAUUAAAAGCCAAAAGAAAAGUUGGAAUAUCGAGCCAAAUACCAAAACACAUACAAACAGAAUUUGUUUUGCUUCUCUCUGAAAAAAAUGCUGAGAAAUUGAGAGCUUGGGACAAAAGUUCCAGUGCCGCAAAACAAAAUGAGACAAAAUUAAAAUAAAACUGUGCUAAUUGAAUUGCUGAAAAAAUUAACAUGUAAUAAAAACGACACA
This is a long non-coding RNA of Stomoxys calcitrans (stable fly), 795 nucleotides long. RefSeq lists it as uncharacterized. Lineage: Eukaryota; Metazoa; Arthropoda; Insecta; Diptera; Muscidae. The transcript has 4 exons. The record is from RefSeq and is a predicted model, not a curated record.